Molecule: non-coding RNA, 4478 nt
Organism: Salmo salar (Atlantic salmon)
Lineage: Eukaryota; Metazoa; Chordata; Actinopteri; Salmoniformes; Salmonidae
Source: RefSeq, a predicted model, not a curated record
AGAUUCGGUCUUAGACAGUCGCGAGAACGCCACAGACAAGACAACUUUUGUCUGCUCCCGUGGAGUCUGAGUGUGUGGGUUGUGAUGAGUCUGGCUGGUUGGUGUGCAGCAUGUGGCAGCCCACAAGAUGGUGAACUUAACACGCAGAUCAGACUUGCAAAGACUAGAUUUCCUAUCAUAUACCGCUUCGUGGCGCCAUGGCUAGCAACGUUGACCGAAUAAAGUUACUAUGGGAAUAUCAGCGCUGUGUCCAUGGUAACCUCGUAAACAAUUCAUUUAGACCCAGCGUUUAUUUGAAACAGGCGGUUAUUUGUUUCAAUGUGUGCCGAUGCCCGGCUAUUAAAGGGAUACUUCAGGAUUUUGGCAAUGGUACUUCUAGUCGUUGUGCGAAUGCUAGUUAGCAUUGGACGGGCAUAAGCUACGGACAACCAACACAAUUGCAUUUUAAUGUUAUCUCAGAGUAAAAUGGUGGUAGUUGUACUUUUAAUUGUCAUUCUGUUUGCAUUCAGGGGAAAUUGACUAAGGAGGUCCCGUUUGCUCGGCUAAACCUGAGAAACCGCGGUUAGUCCCAUUCAAAUCAAUCUUCCCUAAUGUUCUCUGGAACAGCAGAGAAACAGCACAGCAUCCUCAUCAUUGUCACCUUCAUCCCAGGAAACCUCCAGUACAUCAAAGGGAAAUGCUCCCUCCUGAUGGCAACCAACACUAAUGUGCUCGCUUUCCCUUCCCUAUCCCUAUGAACCAGAGAAACUGUCAUUGUACCACUUUUCCCCUGACCCUCGCAGACUCUUUACAGGCACUAUCCUCUUCCUGCUCUCACAGCCCUCUGUCCUUGUCCUCUACGUCUGCUGUGAAUGCAACAGGUCCCCAGCAAUCUUAUCAAAGUGCUGUGAACACGGGAAACAAUGACAGGUUGUCAUUAUCGGGGGUUUCGCAGGACACCCCUGUCCCGUAUCAGGGUGGCUCCUCAGUCUGACCUGAUGGUGGAACUUGUUUCCUGGCCCUUUCAUGUCAAAAGGAAAGCGGAGGAUGAAAAUGUGGGUCCAAAGUUGUUUGAGGACCUUGAAGGUACCAGCGGACUCCCCCUGUGAGAGGGUUCCCCCCCUGUAGGUGCUGAAAAGCGGGCUGUGGACGUGGCUGCUACAGUUGUCAUGGAAAGAGAAGCUGCGCCCACCAUCACGGAUCAGAAUGCAAUGGCUCCAAUGUACAGACAAAAAGCUACUAAGGCUUCAGGCAGCCAUCAAUCAAAUCAGGAUGUUGGCUGGAGUGCCAAGACGGCAAUCAGGUGGUUUUUAGCUCCCUUCACACUCCCUGUUACGGGAAACUCCCAUCAACUUGGGGCAUGUCAUCAGCUAAUGGCACUUUACAUUUUUUCCCCUGGCACUGUGAACACUCCCUCCAAACUUAAUUUUGUCCAACAGCGCCCCAGGUUCUGGUUCCACUGGCACUGUGGGCAGCUGUUACGUUCCCCAGUUUCUGUGUUGUUGUGGGUUUGUAUGUGUUUCAGGAAAUGAUUCCUGGAUUCCCCCAAGCAGCUGAUUGGUCGGCCCCAUUGCAGAUUGGAGCUGACUCCGCCCUCUCGUCAGGGGAUACAGCUGUCUGCAAUUACAGACUCCUUCUCCAGCUGUAUAUAAGCCAGUGUUCCUUUGCUCAGAGAGGAUGCUUAUAGGUCAAAACCAAGUGCUAGCUGGUUCUGUCCCAGGAGGACCCUGCCCACCAGGUCUGCCAGACCUCACCUCUCCAAAGAGCACAAUGGUUAGUUGUGAACAAGGUCUUUACUGUUUAUUUCCCUCAUCUAUAGUUUCUCCUAGUCGUUCCUCUAUCCCAUUGUAGUUCAUCUGUGUUCUCUUUUGCCUCCAUCUUUCCUUCCUAUCAAAUCCAUCUUUUGUCUGUUGGUCUCCCAAAUCUAAUUUUAUUUGCCGAUCGUCCUAUUUUGUAGUAUCCUCAGUUUAGUAUUGUGUAGUUGAGAAAAUAAUGGAAAGUUGAACGUUUUGCUAAAUCACAAUUAGGCUAUCUUCGGAAGGACUACUUACUGUAGUGUUGCAUUAUCUGAAGUAUAACAAUUGUAGAUCAACUGAGUAAUUAAUCACAACUGCAUUUUGAAAUGUAAUUGGAAACUUUUGAAAGCAUUUCUUUAUGAAUUGUUAAGUACGAACACGCCUUUGAUAUAGUCUUACAUUCGCAUUAAUAAGGCACUAUCACACCCUCUCAACAGGAAGCUCCUCAGUCCACUGGUCCAAUCAGAAUUAUUCGACAGGUAAAGAAGAAUAUUUCAACGGUUCAGGACACAGCAGCCCACCCAGGAUGGCACUGCUCAGUCAGGAUUGUUCAAAAAGGAUGAAUCCGCCUCCGUUCUCCUGUCCAGGCAGACUGUGAAAAUGGAAAUUGCCCAGACAGACGUUGACCUCGUUCUGGCCAACCCUAGUCUGACAGUCUUUGCUGUUGAAGAAACCACUGAGACAGACAUUGUCCAGAAUAAAACUGCCCAGCCAGACUUUGUCCAGAAUGAGACCAACCAGGCCGAACAUGUGCUCAAGUAAUAGGAAUCAAGGAGGAAUAAAGGUUACGGACAGUUACAGGACCAAUGGAGUCUGUGGGCAGACAUGCUUGACCCUGCCCAAACUGUUCCUGUUCAGAUUAACUUUGUGCAAACUAACACUGUCCAAAGCGACAUUGUGCAGACAGACUGACUUUGUCAACGUAAGCACACAAGUAUCUGGGAUUAUAAUCAAGGAAGAACCGCCAACCACAGACAGCUUAUCAGUUACAGGGCUAAUGGAGUCCAUCAGAGUGAUCAUGCCUGACACUCUACCUACUGAAACUGUCCAGACUGACCUUGUCCAUACAGAAAUGGUUCAUGUAACAAACUGUACAAAGGGAUUUUGUGCAGACCAACUUUCUUCAGACUGAUAACCAGACUGAAAUCGUGUAGCCCGAGACACUGCUGAGACUGAAAUUGUGCAGACUGCAACUUUCAUUGAAACUGUGCUGAAUGAAAUUGACCUGUCGAACUUUAACCAGACUGAAACUGUGCAGACAGACCCUGUCCUGACUGAAACUGUGGAACCAGUGCACAGUGGAACUGUCCUUACUGACAUUAUGCAGACUGUGCAGAGGCACCCAAGCCCCAACUGACUUCAGAUAUUGUUCAGACCGACAUGUCAACCACCAAUGAAUCCGAUGUGGUACCCACCAAUGACGAUGUCAAUUUGGCCAGUGUAGGGCUGUUGCUGUGACCGUAUUACCGGCGGUCACGAGUCAUGAAGGCAGUCAAAUUCUACGUGACCCUUUAGUCACGAUAAUUAGGCUUCUCCAAGCUCUGCUUCUCCAAACUUGCUAACUGCCUGGUACUCAGCACUAUUGUCCCUUUAAUCACUCUGACAUCAAUGCAAAUGUGUUCGGAAAUCUAUUCAAACACUUCAUGAUAGCUCAUGUUGUGCGAGAAAACAACAGUGAUGGCUGCUAAUAAAAAGAGGAUCCCAUCAGCUUUCUAUGGGAUCCUCUUUCUAUUAUAUUUAUUUCUCAACUUUAAAAAUAUUAAGCACAUUGCUUAUAUUUACAACAGGAGUAUAGCCUACCUGGCUGGCAUGAAAAUAAACCACGGCAUAGAUGAUUUUUUUAUUUUUUUUUCCCCCACUGCCCCUGUUUCGAUACAGGUGCAUGAUAAUGGUCCAUUCUAAAUCAAAAUUCCACACAUUAUUUAGUGUAUGUAAAGACAAGAUUAAAUCAAGAAUAGUCUGAUGGUUGACAAUAUUAGCCUAUCACUUGUGAAAUAUAUUACUUGUGAAUGAUGCCCUGCAUAAAGACUUUCGAAUCAUAGACGCAUACCUCAUGUAGCCUAGCCCAUAGGCCUAUAUGUUUUGAUAAGGUUUGUAUCACAACUAAAGUGGCCAAAUACAUUCUUAAAAUUAAGCACAUUAAUCCACUUUACAAGGGGUUUAGAACCUAACUGGUAUACAUAAGCAGCGUGUGAGUUUCAAGUUUGUUGCUGAAGAUAAUUUUUACUAUAAAAAUGCAUCUUUUAUAAUAAAAGCAUUACAUGCAUAAUCGCAUUUACAUUCAUUUUUGAUUGUUUUCCUGCUAAUGGAACAUUCAUGCUUAUAGCCUACUGCCAUGUGUGCAUUGCUGCGUUUUAUAAUAUGAAGAAAUAGCCUAAUAGUUUAUCAACAUUUUAAGCUAAAUGUUCUGAUCUGUUGUGUCAGCCACAUUGUGUAAAAAAGGUUUUGAUGCUAGUGGUUGUAUUCAUUUGGGCUCUUUCAUCCCACAGCUGUCCCAGACUAUGUUUGGAAUAUUUAUUUCUUGAAUAGAAUAGGUUGACUUUUGUACUAUGGGGGAUAGUAGAUUGACAUAGCAAGUGCAUUAGCCUGUUCUUUAGGCCUACUUGUUGGCUGACAAAUUAAAUGUGGACAGUUCUUCCAAUAUCUUCAAUAUGCACACAUUUGCAUCCCCAAUGUGUCUGUCUUCACUUGUAGCCUGUGAGA